GUGAUAAAGUGUCAGUAAGUGCAGCCCCUCCUCUCUCAGCGUCUCCGUAGAGCAGCAGACGGACCAGCAGCAGGAAGUAGGCGGGCUCAGCUUCAGGCUCUCAGCUUCAGUGAAACAUGGUCAGAUCACUGAGAAGAACAAUGGAAGGCACAUCUCACUGUCUGAUCUUUCUGAUCUUGUUGCUGAGCUGCUCAACAGAUCCAGUUCUCCCAGUUCAUCUGACUGUGAAUCCCAGCAGAUCUCAGUUCUUUAAGGAUGAAUCAGUGACUCUGAUCUGUGAGGAUGAAAACAGAUCUGAUGGAUGGAUUGUGAGGAGAAACACAACCGGAGGAACCAGGAAGAGAUGUGGAGAUGAAUUUGGUAAUCCAGGUAGUUCUCC
Molecule: long non-coding RNA, 379 nt
Organism: Gambusia affinis (western mosquitofish)
Lineage: Eukaryota; Metazoa; Chordata; Actinopteri; Cyprinodontiformes; Poeciliidae
Exons: 3
Source: RefSeq, a predicted model, not a curated record